GUAUUAUUAGUCAUGCUAAAUGCAUCAAUCGAUAAAAUUCACGAGAUAGAUAAAAAUAAUAGGUGAAAUAGUCACUAGCAUUGAUCAUAAUAAUUAUUUUUGUUUCUACUACAAAAACUUUGAAAGAUAUCCAAACCUCUCUACUAUUGAGAUGCAUAUCCACCAAUUACACAAAAUCACUCAUUGGUCGUCGCAAAUCGGAGUAGAUGGCUUUUAGGAAAAGUGGAUGCACGUCUUUCGUUAACGUCACCUCAGCGUCUAAUUUCUCAACAAGUGGCCAAAUCUUUUGAUCAUCGGAAAAUACUUGCGAAUAAUAAAAUAAAUAUAAUAUACGGAAAUUUUAAGCUAUUUUUUUUUCUUAGUAACUAUCUAGUAAUAUCAAAUCUUCCAACCAAGGAUGCUAUAAGGAAAUAAAAAACUGGUGGAGCACCUAGCAGCAUGUUUUGCAAAGCUUAAAAAAAAUAGAAAGAGAUGUUUACAUGUCAGUGUUUGGCUUAAGAGCAAAACAGAUUCUAAAGCCUCUCCAUAGGGGGAAAUACACUAAUUCCAGGUGGGCAUGGAAAGCCUUAAGAGAUCGUAAAGCAAAUGAGAGUGCAAAUUGACACGUGCGGACACCAUAUUUCGAAAGUUGAAGAAAACCCUAUCAUUCAACUCUUCACUACAAAUUAUGAUAUUUUUGAAAUGUCCUUGUUUGAGCCCCCCCCUUUUUUUUUGUCAAAAUGCAUUUUAAAAUAGUGUUUUGUUGGAGAAUAUGUGGUUAAUAAGUUUAAAAAAAAAAGUUUUGGAUUUGUGUGCAAAAUGUUUUUAUAGGAGAAUGUGUGGUUGAAAAUGAAUUUUUGGAAAAAUGGAGACCAAACAUCUAAUUUUUCAUGUUUAACAGGCAAUUGAGAAAAUCAUCAAUAGCUUCGCUUCACGCCAGCUCCAGAGUGAAGUCGUCAUUCUGGAACCAUAGAACAUGAAAAAGCAAGUACAAAGGGGAAAAGAAGCAGAAGAAGUAUCAUAAGGAAAACCUUACCUCUGAAGCACAUUGGCGGGUGAAGGCUUUGACAUAACCCAGAGUUGAUAAACACCGUUGCUCUUUCUCACCAACAAUUUAAUCAUUUCUGCUCCUGUCUUGAUAGGAGUGACUGCAACAUUCAUACAAACCAAGGAAAAUGAACAUAAAAAAUAGAUCUGUAGAGUUUAACAUGUAGUGUAUAAAUGAUUAAUACAACUACAAUGCGAAAAUAUAAACUUUCAAAGUGUAAAAAUUGAACCAAAACUUCUUCAACAUCAUCAAUGGAGUGCCCUAUAAUGUUGAGUUCAAAUUUGUGCAACACUGAAUCAUACACCGUCAUCCACGAGAAAGGCAAUAAAUAUACCGAGAAAAGGAUCCGUCGAAAGCCACCAAAAGUUUAGCCAGAGAUUUGAACUUUUCCCACUUGGUUACCUCUCCACACUUUUUCACUUUCGUUAUUUCAAGUCCGAAUGAAAUAAGUGAAGAAACUUGUAAUUAUAAAGUCAAAACCAUUUGAAUUCAAAUUCAAAUAUUGUACCAAGAUCAAGAGUGAAGGUGACAUAACU
Molecule: long non-coding RNA, 1563 nt
Filed under: Olea europaea subsp. europaea
Lineage: Eukaryota; Viridiplantae; Streptophyta; Magnoliopsida; Lamiales; Oleaceae
Source: RNAcentral